Molecule: ribosomal RNA, 443 nt
Filed under: Comamonas sp. R-28226
Lineage: Bacteria; Pseudomonadati; Pseudomonadota; Betaproteobacteria; Burkholderiales; Comamonadaceae
Description: bacterial SSU rRNA
Rfam family: Bacterial small subunit ribosomal RNA
Source: RNAcentral
AGAUUGAACGCUGGCGGCAUGCCUUACACAUGCAAGUCCGAACGGUAACAGGUCUUUCGGGAUGCUGACGAGUGGCGAACGGGUGAGUAAUACAUCGGAACGUGCCUAGUAGUGGGGGAUAACUACUCGAAAGAGUGGCUAAUACCGCAUGAGAUCUAUGGAUGAAAGCAGGGGACCUUCGGGCCUUGUGCUACUAGAGCGGCCGAUGGCAGAUUAGGUAGUUGGUGGGAUAAAAGCUUACCAAGCCUGCGAUCUGUAGCUGGUCUGAGAGGACGAUCAGCCACACUGGGACUGAGACACGGCCCNGACUCCUACGGGAGGCAGCAGUGGGGAAUUUUGGACAAUGGGGGAAACCCUGAUCCAGCAAUGCCGCGUGNNGGAUGAAGGCCUUCGGGUUGUAAACUGCUUUUGUACGGAACGAAAAGUCUUGGGCUAAUACCCUG